CCUACGGGCGGCUGCAGUGGGGAAUAUUGGUCAAUGGGCGGGAGCCUGAACCAGCCAAGUCGCGUGAAGGAAGAAGGUACUGAGUAUUGUAAACUUCUUUUGUCGGGGAACAAAGGCGGAGACGCGUCUCCGGAUGAGUGUACCCGAAGAAAAAGCAUCGGCUACCCCCGUGCCAGCAGCCGCGGUAAUACGGAGGAUGCGAGCGUUAUCCGGGUUUAUUGGGUUUAAGGGGUGCGCAGGCGGGAGAUCAAGGCAGCGGUAAAAUGUCGGGGCUCAACCCCGGCCGGCCGUUGAAACUGGUUGUCUAGAGUUGGAGAGAGGUAUGCGGAAUUCGUGGGGUAGCGGUGAAAUGCAUAGAUAGCACGAAGAACUCCGAUUGCGAAGGCAGCAUACCGGCUCCAUACUGACGCUGAGGCACGAAAGCGUGGGGAUCGAACAGGAUUAGAUACCCUAGUAGUC
This 459-nucleotide ribosomal RNA is filed under the name uncultured bacterium. RNAcentral describes it as "partial 16S ribosomal RNA". It matches the Rfam family "Bacterial small subunit ribosomal RNA", at positions 338 to 795 of the family's 1533-position model. The record is from RNAcentral.